This 2871-nucleotide unclassified non-coding RNA is filed under the name Bactrocera latifrons. RNAcentral's name for it is "embryonic polarity protein dorsal, transcript variant X3". Lineage: Eukaryota; Metazoa; Arthropoda; Insecta; Diptera; Tephritidae. The record is from RNAcentral.
ACACAUUUCCACAUAUAGAAUAUAUAAUAUAAAGAAAUAUGUAGCCAUAAAUAUAGUAUAUGCAUAUGUAUGUGGUAGCAUGCUCACAGUCAGCCGAUUGAUCCUUUUCCUCGAGAUGCUGUUGGAAGAAAAAUAAGCAGCUAAUGCUCAUAAAUUUGAUGUUUUUCAGUCUAGACAGGAAUUUCUAGUUGCAAACUGGUAAAUUUCCCGUCUAUUUUGAUGCUCCACUGCAUUGGUGUAUGUUUGUAAAUACCUACAUAAACAUAUACGAAUAUAAAUUUUAUAUUAUACAUUCAGUGCAAUUACGGCUUAUUUAUACCGAUCACGUAUUCCCGUCAACGAAAAAGAGUUACUAGUAAAUACUAUACAUGCUUAAUAAACAAACAUAUGUAUGUAUAAUGUGUCGGUAAGCGUAAAUCUACUGAGAGUAAAAGAAUAUGAUAUAUGAAUAUGUGAGAACAAGUGAAACAGUGAACUAGAAAUUAAUACUAAAAAUACCCACAAUUAGAGAACCUGGAGCAGCUUGCUUGAUUAGAUUAAAAAGUACAAUCACUGAAAAUGAAAAUAAAGUUAAUUAUUUUAAGUAAUUAUUAUGUAUCCUAGCCAAAGUAACGCCAAUAUAGGAGGGGGCCCAAGAGUAAGCCCGAAUGAGGAGCAUUUGCAACAUCAAUCCCCACAGCAUCAGCAACAACAAAAUAUGAAUUAUAAUACGGACCAAACGAAGCAACAACAUACUGACACUACGUCUUCAUCUCAGCAGCAAAUAAACCCAAAUAAAAAAAUCGCUAAAAAGGCGUACGUUAAAAUUGUGGAACAACCUGCAAGCAAAGCAUUGAGAUUUCGUUAUGAAUGCGAGGGUCGUUCGGCUGGUUCUAUUCCAGGUGUGAAUUCGACCCCGGAAAUGAAAACUUUUCCUACCAUCGAAAUUGUUGGUUACAAGGGGCGAGCAGUAGUGGUCGUCUCUUGUGUGACCAAGGACGCACCCUACCGUCCUCAUCCUCACAAUUUGGUAGGUAAGGAGGGUUGUAAAAAGGGUGUUUGCACCUUGGAAAUUAACAGCGAUACGAUGCGUGCCGUAUUUGGUAAUUUAGGAAUACAAUGCGUGAAGAAGAAAGACAUUGAAAGUGCCUUAAAAGCAAGAGAAGAUAUUCGAGUUGAUCCUUUUAAAACUGGAUUUUCGCACCGUUUCCAGCCAACUAGUAUAGACCUAAACUCUGUCAGAUUGUGUUUUCAAGUAUUUUUAAAAGGUGACAUGGGUCGUUUCACAGUACCACUGCCACCUGUAGUUUCAGAGCCUAUUUAUGAUAAAAAGGCCAUGUCGGAUCUCGUUAUUUGUCGUAUUUGUGAGUGUUCGGCUUCGGUUUUAGGGAACACAAAAAUUAUUCUACUCUGUGAGAAAGUAGCUAAAGAGGAUAUUGCGGUGCGAUUUUUUGAAGAGAAGGACGGUGUUACAAUUUGGCAAGCAUAUGGUCAGUUCGAGCACAGUGAUGUUCAUAAACAAACCGCGAUUACAUUCAGGACACCAAAAUAUCAUAAUACAAGCAUAACAAUGCCAGUAGAGGUAUUGGUACAAUUGCAAAGACCGUCAGAUGGAGCAGUUAGUGACCCCGCGACAUUUGAAUAUAAACCGGCGAAGUCGGGACCAGAGGAAUUGAGACGAAAACGUCAAAGGACUGAUGGCGAUACAAUGCAUUUCUCGCCGCAACAACAAAGUGAUCACCCAGGUGGUCCCAAUUUAGGCAUGACAAAUUGGAAUACACCCAAUAUACCAGCGAUUAAGACAGAGCCAAGAGAAGCAUCACCCCAACCAUUUAACUUAUAUCGUGGAACUACGGAGAUGACUCCAUCUCCUCAGCCUUUAUCACCGCCGAAUAAUAACAAUCAUCCAAAUACACCAUCACCAUACAACAUGACUGCAGGAGGAAAUACACCAUUGAUGUCGCCUAGCCAUCAAUAUCAAGGGAGCACUGCGGUAGGGAGAGUUCCAUCAAAUACUGAUACAAUGACCAUUCCACUAGAGAUGCAUAACGAGUUUAACUCAUAUAGAGGUGGCCAGCCACAGCCAGUACAACUCCAUUCGCGGCAGUAUGUACGUCAUUCUGAACUGCCACAACAGCAGGACUCACAUCAACAACCACAGCAUAAUCAGCAUCAGUCACAACACCAGCAAUAUCAUAAUCUUCUUUAUGGCAAUACAGAGGCAACAAAUUGGGAGGAGAAGUAUUCUAAUGUGCUGCCGGUAAUGGGCAAUAUGAGCACAGCAGCCAUAGCAAUGAAUAAUCUUAAUCCAAACAACAACCAGUUCAAUUUGCAAAAUUUGUUAACGGCGACAGCCACUGCUAUGUCAGCUGCAACUCAGAAUCCGCAUUGGAAUUUUCCACCAAAUCACGAGCAGAAUGCACAACUGCAGCAACAACAUCAGCACCAAAUCCAAAUUCAACAACAGCAGUCAUCGCAAUCACCAUUCCAACAACCAUCGAAUAACAAUCACGAUGCGACAAUGGUAAACUUGUCAAGGACCAACAACGCAAACAUUGCGAACAUUGUUGAUACUGUCGGAGACGGCGAUCAGGGACCAACGAUAAGUAACUUAUUGAAUUUCGAUAGCGGACAGCUUGUGCACAUCAAUUCUGAAGAACAGCAAAUGCUUCGACUCACCUCCGAAGAACUCAGACUCUCCAAUUUAUCUAUAUCGUCGUGACGAUGAAGUAUAGUACAUCACUAGUUUAAGGAAAACUAUUAUUGCAUAUUAUUUUUGGCCCCAAACAGCAUCAACUCACAUAAGGUGCCUUUUCGAGUGUGAGGCCAAACGGAAAUGUUGUAAUCUUCGGUGGUGGUGUCGCGGGUAGUGUACAAUAAGCAAUCCAAUGU